CGCACAUAAGACAUGCAAGUCGAACGGAAGUACGUUAUAAUCGAAGACUGAAAUGAACAGAGAACUGUUCGAAGGAAUUGACGUUGACUUAUAACAAUGGCUUUAGUGGCGGACUGGUGAGUAACGCGUGAGCAACCUGCCUAUUAGAGGGGAAUAACAGUGAGAAAUCAUUGCUAAUACCGCAUAUGCCAUAGGUACCACAUGGUACUAGUGGGAAAGGAGUAAUCCGCUAAUAGAUGGGCUCGCGUCUGAUUAGAUAGUUGGUGGGGUAACGGCCUACCAAGUCGACGAUCAGUAGCCGGACUGAGAGGUUGAACGGCCACAUUGGGACUGAGAUACGGCCCAGACUCCUACGGGAGGCAGCAGUCGGGAAUAUUGCGCAAUGGAGGAAACUCUGACGCAGUGACGCCGCGUAUAGGAUGAAGGUCUUCGGAUUGUAAACUAUUGUCGUUAGGGAAGAGAAAGGACAGUACCUAAGGAGGAAGCUCCGGCUAACUACGUGCCAGCCGCUGC
RNAcentral lists this ribosomal RNA (513 nucleotides) under uncultured bacterium. RNAcentral describes it as "bacterial SSU rRNA". It matches the Rfam family "Bacterial small subunit ribosomal RNA", at positions 43 to 518 of the family's 1533-position model. The record is from RNAcentral.